RNAcentral lists this long non-coding RNA (668 nucleotides) under Macaca fascicularis (crab-eating macaque). RNAcentral's name for it is "lncRNA (ENSMFAG00000061349.1)". The record is from RNAcentral. Lineage: Eukaryota; Metazoa; Chordata; Mammalia; Primates; Cercopithecidae.
UCAAAGAAGUAUUACACUUAAUCCCUAGUGAUGCCAGGAGGCCAGGCAUUUGUUCCAAUAUGGCUGCUACUGCUGAAAACAUUUGAGUCUCGUCUUCUGGAAGUGCCCGUUAAAAAUUUUAAAGCAGAGAAAACAAAAGCUCAGCUGGAAGAGACUGAAAUGGAGGCACCUACUUUCAAGCCCAGACUUUAAGAGAGAACACUUCCAGAAGCCGACUUGGCCUUGAAGUUCUGACUCAUUUAUAAGACCAUGUGUUACAAAUCACAGCUUUCGGUUCGAUACUUGGCAGACCAAGGCAGAUGUUUGGCUGGAAAAAUUGCUGUUACCUGAAGUUGUGUGUUAGCAGAGAAAGAGAUACCUGCAUGGUGACAGUGGCCACUCUCCUGUCCUGCUGGCAGAUGAAACCUCCCAAAUCCUCCCAAAGUGCUGCAGCAUCCACGUGCAGAAGGGUAUUUGCAUUCACUUGAUGCCUCAUUGUAAGGAAGGACACCAUUGACAGCACAUAGCAUCACUAUUAUUAUUGCUAAACAGAUGGAAAAUAAUUGUUUAUGGAAUUUGUGUUUUAAUCACAUUAAUGUCUUUGGCAGGGAGAUCCACCUAAGUACACAAUUCAAAGCCUGCCUUUGAUCUGGGCCCCGUGGGGGCAUUUUCCAUGACUGAUAAAAUGC